CAGAGACAGCAGAGACAGGCAGAGACAGACAGAGACAGACAGAGACAGCAGAGACAGGCAGAGACAGACAGAGACAGACAGAGACAGCAGAGACAGCAGAGACAGGCAGAGACAGACAGAGACAGACAGAGACAGACAGAGACAGACAGAGACAGGCAGACACCUAAUACUGCAGGCAGAAAUGUAUUGAUAUCGGAAUCAAUAGAAGUCCAUAUUGUCAUCGGUAAAAACACUCCCCUGACUCCGAGUCCACAGCUUCCUGGCCACUUAAAUCAAACAGCGUCAUUACAUCAAGUCUCCUUGCGUUCCAGGCCGAUGACAUUUCAUUUCAUUUCACUGAACCCCCUCCAACCCCCUUCCCAUCACUGCGUCACGAGCGUACGGAUAACUGACUCAGAGCCCCCCGUUGGUUGGAUUUACCAGGGGAGAGGGCGGGGACCUGCUGCAGAUGACAGAUGCAGAAGCCAAUCAGGUUGGAUUUACCAGGGGAGAGGGCGGGGACCUGCUGCAGAUGACAGAUGCAGAAGCCAAUCAGGUUGGAUUUACCAGGGGAGAGGGCGGGGACCUGCUGCAGAUGACAGAUGCAGAAGCCAAUCAGGUUGGAUUUACCAGAGGAGAGGGCGGGGACCUGCUGCAGAUGACAGAUGCAGAAGCCAAUCAGGUUGGAUUUACCAGAGGAGAGGGCGGGGACCUGCUGCAGAUGACAGAUGCAGAAGCCAAUCAGGUUGGAUUUACCAGGGGAGAGGGCGGGGACCUGCUGCAGAUGACAGAUGCCAAUCAGGUUGGAAUCAAUAGCAAAAAGAAACGACGUAGACCAACAGACCCUUGGCCGAUGCAACAGGGCGGCCAACUGCUCAGACGCCCGGACUACAACGUCUCCUGGAGUUGUGACGUAGGAAGAUGACCACUGCAGGAGAGACAGUCACGUGGAGGUUGGUGGAAGAUGAGCAGUCCUUCUGCUGUAUGACAGCUUCCUACAACACCCCGCGGUUUCCCAUCCCACGACCCCCCUCCUCAACAAGCCACGGGAGAAAAACACCGUCGCUGUCUUUUACCUCGGAGACGAGGAACGGAUGGAAUACACCAUGGAUACGAUGAGGAAACCUGACUCACUGGAGGACAGGGCUCUGACAUGCCUUUCCAUUAGGGACAACAUCACCUGACAGGAUAUAGAAUACACCUGGACAACAUCACCUGACAGGAUAUAGAAUACACCUGGACAACAUCACCUGACAGGAUAUAGAAUACACCUGGACAACAUCACCUGACAGGAUAUAGAAUACACCUGGACAACAUCACCUGACAGGAUAUAGAAUACACCUGGACAACAUCACUGACAGGAUAUAGAAUACACCACCUGGACAACAUCACCUGACAGGAUAUAGAAUACACCACCUGGACAACAUCACUGACAGGAUAUAGAAUACACCACCUGGACAACAUCACUGACAGGAUAUAGAAUACACCACCUGGACAACAUCACUGACAGGAUAUAGAAUACACCACCUGGACAACAUCACUGACAGGAUAUAGAAUACACCACCUGGACAACAUCACCUGACAGGAUAUAGAAUACACCUGGACAACAUUACUGACAGGAUAUAGAAUACACCUGGACAACAUCACUGACAGGAUAUAGAAUACACCUGGACAACAUCACUGACAGGAUAUAGAAUACACCACCUGGACAACAUCACUGACAGGAUAUAGAAUACACCUGGACAACAUCACUGACAGGAUAUAGAAUACACCUGGACAACAUCACUGACAGGAUAUAGAAUACACUUGGACAACAUCACUGACAGGAUAUAGAAUACACCUGGACAACAUCACUGACAGGAUAUAGAAUACACCACCUGGACAACAUCACUGACAGGAUAUAGAAUACACCUGGACAACAUCACCUGACAGGAUAUAGAAUACACCUGGACAACAUCACCUGACAGGAUAUAGAAUACACCUGGACAAUGUGUCUGACACAGAUUAAACCAUGUGGACAACAUUACUGACAUAGAUUCAAACCAGGUGGACAUCAAUCUGUCUGGUAUGGGGAGGAGACAGCAGCAUUACUCUGAUGACCUGCAGAGAGGAGAGGAGACAAACAGACAGAGGUACAGAAGACGUUACUUGAAUCACCUUCCACAACACAUGAAUAAUGACAUUUGUAAACCCAGUGAUCGUGGAACAACCCCGGGACAACACACUCCUUCUAAGGCUGAGAUACAGGUGUGUGACAAUGUAUGACAGAUAAUGACGACAAUAGGAGGGGGGGUGGGGGUUCUCUCUGUAUGUAGACAUUGAAUAAUGUAAUGUAUAGAUAUGACAUCAAUAAGACGAGGUUCUGUAUGUUCUGUAUAGAUAUGACAUCAAUAAGACGAGGUUCUGUAUGUUCUGUAUAGAUAUGACAUCAAUAAGACGAGGUUCUGUAUGUUCUGUAUAGGUAUGACAUCAAUAAGACGAGGUUCUGUAUGUUCUGUAUAGAUAUGACAUCAAUAAGACGAGGUUCUGUAUGUUCUGUAUAGAUAUGACAUCAAUAAGACGAGGUUCUGUAUGUUCUGUAUAGAUAUGACAUCAAUAAGACGAGGUUCUGUAUGUUCUGUAUAGAUAUGACAUCAAUAAGACGAGGUUCUGUAUGUUCUGUAUAGAUAUGACAUCAAUAAGACGAGGUUCUGUAUGUUCUGUAUAGAUAUGACAUCAAUAAGACGAGGUUCUGUAUGUAGACAUCGAAUCAUAUCAUGUUCUGUACUAAAACAUAUUCUUGAAAACAUGUACAGCUGGUAAAGCAGAAUUAAAGACAGACCGUAGUUUUAAGUCUGUGUCAACAAACUGUUCUAAAAAUA
Oncorhynchus nerka (sockeye salmon) is the source of this 2840-nucleotide long non-coding RNA. RefSeq lists it as uncharacterized. The record is from RefSeq and is a predicted model, not a curated record. Lineage: Eukaryota; Metazoa; Chordata; Actinopteri; Salmoniformes; Salmonidae. The transcript has 2 exons.